GGGAGAAUCGCUUGAGUCCAGGAGACAGAGGUUGCUGGAGUACAGUGGUGCCAUCUCGGCUCACUGCAGCCUCCACCUCCCUGGUUCAAGCAAUUCUCCUGCCUCAGCCUCCCAAGUAACUGGUAUUACAGGUGCGUGCCACCAUGCCUGACUAAUUUUUGUACUUUUAGUAGAGACAGGGUUUCACCAUGUUGGCCAGGCUGGUCUUGAACUCCUGACUUCAUGUGAUCCACCCACCUUGGCCUCCCAAAGUACUGGGAUUAUAGGCAUGAGCCACCACGUCCAGCCUUAUCUUUCUUUUAACCAAGAAACAUGAUGCCGUAUCUUAAAAAGAGCACUAAGCCCUGAGCAGGGACUUAAGGGAUCGAGUCCCCAACCAAACUGAUUUUCUUACUCAAAAAGGAUUUUCAAAAAGGAUCAGAGGCUAUUUACAAUAUUAGUCAGAGGGGUUCAAUAAAAUAAAAAUAGGAAGUAAAAAAAAAAGACAAAUUAUUAUCUAAAUCUAACUGGUGUAAUUCCUAUAAUCAUGCAAUUAAAUUUUACUCUUGAGUUUCCUGGCAGCCAUGGUAAAAAGAGAAACACAUCAGGAUUUAUAAUUUUCAUCAUCCAAUUAUGGGAAGCAGGCAUGUUUGCCCCAGGAGAUGAACUCUUCUACUAAUUUAUAGCAUGUAUCCUUUCAUCUAGGGCCACUGAGCCAGUUGGUGAGUCAACGGGUGAACCUAAGAUGCAAGGAUGUUUUCCAGGUGACUAUUUAAAAAGUAAAAAAUCCACCGACGUGAAUGACCUUGGCAAGAUCAUGUGGCUAGUCUAUACCUCAGUUUCCCCGUCUAUAAAGUGAGGAUAACGUCCCACCCCAUGUAACUGUGGUGAGGACCAACUGCAACACUGUGCCUGCGAGUCCCCUUGGAAAAGUGUCAGGUUCUACACAAAUGGAGAGUGGUCUGACCACACUCAGUGUCCCCAGCCCAGCCUUUCAGUGCCCUGGCCCUGGGGUGGGGGACAAUACCCUCCUUACCCCAUUCACUAGUCUUCAUGAAUAGCAAGGAGGCCAUAACAUAAUUUGGUCUAAACCCCUUCCUUUUUAAAAAAAUUAUGGCAAAAUAUGCAUAACAUUAAAUUUUCCAUUUUAAAGAUUUCUAAGUGGCUUGAAGUACAUUCACAAUGUGUAACCGCCACCUCCAGAACUUUUUCAUCACCCCAAACUGAAACUCUGUACCCACUAAACAAUAACUCCCCAUUCCCCCUGUCCCCAGCCCCUGGUAACCUCUAUUCUACUUUUUUUUUUUUCCUCUGUGGAUUAGCCUAUUCUAAGUAUCUCUUUUAAGUAGAAUCAUACAGUAUUUGUCCUUUUGUGUCCAGCGCCCUCAUUUUUUGAGAUAAGGAAUCAGGUCCAGAGAAGGCAGUGGCUCACCCAAGGUCACACAGCAAACCACAGGCAGAGCCAAGACCAGAACCCAGGUUUCCUGACUCCCAACAGGUCUUGCAUCCCCAGUAGUGAAUGAGACACUGCUUCGACUUUCUGUAAUCUUGGUUUAGCCCCUUCCUCUCUCUGGGCUCAGUCUGUUUCCUACCACUCACCCAUUCUUUCUUUAUCAUCUCCCUCCAAAGUCUCUUGUCCUCCUGCCUCCUUUUCUCCUUGGCUGGUUCCUACCAGCAGAUGGAGUGGCCCUGGCCCAUGCCAGAUUUUCUUCUUCUGGGUCUGGGGCUCACUGUAGAAUUCAGCCCUCAGUCCUCCCAGGAUGUUCUUCCCAGCACUGCUCCCUCCUGCGGAUUUUCCUGUAACCUCAGUAACUCGCUUCCCAUCCCCCUGCUUCCUACCAGGGAAGCCUUCCUGUCGCGUCUGUGGUUUCCCAGCUCUGAUAUUUGCUCUCAAAUGUGGUGGUGUCCUGGUUCUGUGUUUAUUUAUUUUGUGUUUUCUCACACCAAAAAAAAAAAAAAAAAAAAAAAAAAAG
Molecule: long non-coding RNA, 1952 nt
Filed under: Macaca mulatta (Rhesus monkey)
Lineage: Eukaryota; Metazoa; Chordata; Mammalia; Primates; Cercopithecidae
Description: lncRNA (ENSMMUG00000055357.1)
Source: RNAcentral